This 444-nucleotide ribosomal RNA is filed under the name uncultured bacterium. Its description in RNAcentral is "partial 16S ribosomal RNA". It matches the Rfam family "Bacterial small subunit ribosomal RNA", at positions 339 to 795 of the family's 1533-position model. The record is from RNAcentral.
CUACGGGGGGCUGCAGUGGGGAAUAUUGCACAAUGGGCGCAAGCCUAAUGCAGCAACGCCGCGUGAGGGAUGAAGGCCUUCGGGUUGUAAACCUCUUUUAGCAGGGAAGAAGUGAAAGUGACGGUACCUGCAGAAAAAGCACCGGCUAACUACGUGCCAGCAGCCGCGGUAAUACGUAGGGUGCAAGCGUUGUCCGGAAUUAUUGGGCGUAAAGAGCUCGUAGGCGGUUUGUCACGUCUGCUGUGAAAAUCCAAGGCUCACCCUUGGACUUGCAGUGGGUACGGGCAGGCUCGAGUGCGGUAGGGGAGAUGGGAAUUCCUGGUGUAGCGGUGGAAUGCGCAGAUAUCAGGAGGAACACCAAUGGCGAAGGCACAUCUCUGGGCCGUAACUGACGCUGAGGAGCGAAAGCGUGGGGAGCGAACAGGAUUAGAUACCCGCGUAGUC